UUCUAUUGUAUUAAACAAAACAAAAAAAAAAUCAAAAAUAAUCUAAACAUCGCGUAUUCCAGACAGCAUUUACAUCAAAAGGGCAAAGAUGAAAUUCAUCACUCACAUCCAAAAACACACACACGCAUACUAACACAAGCGCAGCACCUAGACCGAAAGUAUUUUGCAAAUGUAUUAAAUUUUUUUGUGGUAUUUUGUAAAGAUUUAAACCAUAAUUAGCGUAAAAUUUGUUGGCAAAAACACAUACACACAAAAAAAAAAUAUAUAUACAUAUAUAGAUAUUCACGAUAAAUAUUUUAGUCUAGAACGCAAUUUGUGCAAAACACAAGCAAAAAAAAAAAAAAAAAAAAACCUUCGGUAAAAAUCCCGCAAAAAACGAACAAAAACAAAAUGCAUUACAAAUGCAGAAAAAAUUCAAUUAUUAAUUAUUAUGUUAAAAAUAAUGAACAACAAAUAAUCGCUGGCUAUUUGAGGGCAUCCAAAAUUGUGAUAAAUGAAAAUUAGAGUGCGGCACUGACCAAGGGAGAGCGCAACAAUAAAACAAAUGCAAAAAAAUUAUAGCAACGAGAGAGCGCAUGAAAAGCAAAGAGCUAAGCGCCAAGGGAGCGAGUGUGAGAGAGAACGAGAGCAACAAGUGCAGCGCGCAGCUGUCGUCAAUAUUUGGCGCGUUUCCGACGCGACUAAAAACGCAUGCUUACCGUUUUUAUUUUGUGGCAAGACUGCUUCGGAUCGCCGUUCUUCAAUGCCUGCGUUGAGGCGCUGCAGCUGCACGAGGAUAUGGACAAAUAUAACGAAUGGCGCGAUAC
Molecule: unclassified non-coding RNA, 806 nt
Filed under: Drosophila mojavensis
Lineage: Eukaryota; Metazoa; Arthropoda; Insecta; Diptera; Drosophilidae
Description: GI19181
Source: RNAcentral